This 587-nucleotide unclassified non-coding RNA is filed under the name Hevea brasiliensis (rubber tree). Lineage: Eukaryota; Viridiplantae; Streptophyta; Magnoliopsida; Malpighiales; Euphorbiaceae. The record is from RNAcentral.
GGCAAGAGGUGUACAUAUAGCUUUAGCUUUAGCCAUAUUGAACCGCUGUAGUAACUUCUCAAUCUAUUUUUCUUGAGAUAGCCAUAACUUCUUCCAUUUUCUGUCACGGAUGAUCUUCAUGCCGAGAAUAUGCUUCGCUGGUCCCAAAUCUUUCAUUGCAAAGGACUUGCUCAACUCUUUCUUCAAACUAUCAAUCCUAAAAGAGUUAGGACCCACAAUGAGCAUGUCAUCAACAUAUAGUAGCAAAAUGAUAGUCAUUAUCAGGGAAUUUUUGCACAAAGACACAAUGAUCAAAAGUAGUCUUCUUAUAGCCUUGUUGAACCAUAACUUACUCAAACUUCUUAUACCACUGCUUGGGCGCUUGUUUUAAACCAUACAAGUUCUUCUUCAAUUUGCAGACAUAAUUCUCUUUUCCUUUUACCACUAAACCUUUGGGCUGUUCCACGUAAGUUUCCUCCUCUAAUUCACCAUUCACAUCCAUUUGUUCAACUUCUAAGUCAAGACUUGCAGCUAAACCCAAAAUAACUCAAAUUGAUGACAUUUUGACCAAUCAAUCCCUUUUUUCUGACUGAAGCCUUUGACAACCA